AGGGUUUGAUUAUGGCUCAGAUUGAACGCUGGCGGCAGGCCUAACACAUGCAAGUCGAGCGGUAGAGAGGUGCUUGCACCUCUUGAGAGCGGCGGACGGGUGAGUAAUGCCUAGGAAUCUGCCUGGUAGUGGGGGAUAACGCUCGGAAACGGACGCUAAUACCGCAUACGUCCUACGGGAGAAAGCAGGGGACCUUCGGGCCUUGCGCUAUCAGAUGAGCCUAGGUCGGAUUAGCUAGUUGGUGGGGUAAUGGCUCACCAAGGCGACGAUCCGUAACUGGUCUGAGAGGAUGAUCAGUCACACUGGAACUGAGACACGGUCCAGACUCCUACGGGAGGCAGCAGUGGGGAAUAUUGGACAAUGGGCGAAAGCCUGAUCCAGCCAUGCCGCGUGUGUGAAGAAGGUCUUCGGAUUGUAAAGCACUUUAAGUUGGGAGGAAGGGCAUUAACCUAAUACGUUAGUGUUUUGACGUUACCGACAGAAUAAGCACCGGCUAACUCUGUGCCAGCAGCCGCGGUAAUACAGAGGGUGCAAGCGUUAAUCGGAAUUACUGGGCGUAAAGCGCGCGUAGGUGGUUCGUUAAGUUGGAUGUGAAAUCCCCGGGCUCAACCUGGGAACUGCAUUCAAAACUGUCGAGCUAGAGUAUGGUAGAGGGUGGUGGAAUUUCCUGUGUAGCGGUGAAAUGCGUAGAUAUAGGAAGGAACACCAGUGGCGAAGGCGACCACCUGGACUGAUACUGACACUGAGGUGCGAAAGCGUGGGGAGCAAACAGGAUUAGAUACCCUGGUAGUCCACGCCGUAAACGAUGUCAACUAGCCGUUGGGAGCCUUGAGCUCUUAGUGGCGCAGCUAACGCAUUAAGUUGACCGCCUGGGAGUACGGCCGCAAGGUUAAAACUCAAAUGAAUUGACGGGGGCCCGCACAAGCGGUGGAGCAUGUGGUUUAAUUCGA
RNAcentral lists this ribosomal RNA (950 nucleotides) under uncultured Pseudomonas sp. Its description in RNAcentral is "bacterial SSU rRNA". It matches the Rfam family "Bacterial small subunit ribosomal RNA", at positions 8 to 954 of the family's 1533-position model. The record is from RNAcentral. Lineage: Bacteria; Pseudomonadati; Pseudomonadota; Gammaproteobacteria; Pseudomonadales; Pseudomonadaceae.